RNAcentral lists this unclassified non-coding RNA (582 nucleotides) under Centaurea montana. Its description in RNAcentral is "partial external transcribed spacer". The record is from RNAcentral. Lineage: Eukaryota; Viridiplantae; Streptophyta; Magnoliopsida; Asterales; Asteraceae.
UGGCUUAAUCUUUGAGACAAGCAUAUGACUACUGGCAGGAUCAACCAGGUAGCAUUCCUCUUCAACGUAGCCCACCAUGCAAGGACAAGCCAUAACACGGCAGGCAAUCGUUUUGGAGAAGCGAGAACGCUUAGGAGGGCAAAAUGAAGAUCUCAUAAUUUUCAAGGCCCACAUCAGGUUCCGUUUACAAGAGACCAAACGAUGCUUCAUAAGCCACGUCAUUGUUGCAAACGCAACAACACGGUGGAUCAUAGAGACCGCUUCAUUGUUCAUCCCACGCCACAUGAACGACGCAUGACGAAAAGGAAUAUCGUAAAACCCACACACGUUACCAUCAAUUAGGUAUGCAACACAGGAAACCCACAAUAUGCUCAAGACAAACCGGGUCUUGCCGCAAAACUGAAGAGGUAUGCAGCGUGGACGUUGGUGCGCAAGCAAACAGCCAUCCACACGUAACAAACCAAACACCACUCAUGCACCUCCCCGGUCGCAUUCCCGAAAGCCGCCCAACUAGUAGCCACCCACCCAACCAAACGGUCUUGAGCAAGCAACCAAAAGCCAAAACAGCCCCCAAAAUGCACA